CUUUGCUAGAAUCAUAUCAUGAUGUAUGCUUACUUGAGCAAGACGACUUCUUCAAUCAUGGUGUACGUUGUUACUUGUCUGCCCGCAGAUACUGAUUCAUCUAGUUGUGAGGAAGUGAAAUGUAGUGAAGCUUUUGGUGGAUAAUAACAAAGUUGGAGUGCGCUAGGUUUCUUGGACCAUUUUAUUUCUAAGGCCAGAGGCUCCCAGAGCUCGAUCUGAAGCUCUAAAGUCAUCUCAUAUUUGGAAGGUUUUGACUCCAUUGUACUCACUGCUUACAAAGCAUCUGCCGAUACUUCCUUUCUGGCUCUUGAGGCAAGUUCAAGAUUUUGUCCAUCCAGGGUGAAUUGAGUGCAAACCAGGAGACUGUCAUGGUACCUUGUGGCCAGCAAAUCAUAUCAAUUUCUGACCAACCAGGAAACUGAAGUAUUUGUACCUAGUGUGUUUGGUGAAUGCUAAUCACUUCUUUGUUGAACUGCCAGACAAGGAGCUUUGCUUUGCUCGCAUGUUCUCAUGGACUCUUGUACCUCUAUGUUUUUAACUUCUGAAAGUGUUCAUUUUCAAGACUAUGCAGGAGCUUCACGUGUAUAUAAUUUGAAAGAAAAUGAGUUUUACAUGCCGCGACCCAAAAUAACAACUGAGUAAAAUACAAAGGCAGAAGCUUGUGACAAGCCGGGCAAACCAAAGAAAGACCCAGCAGAUACUGAUGCAUAUAAUCCAGACGCCUCCCAUUUUCCAUGACCAUUUAUGUGGAUUUCCUGGUGAGAGAACCAUUUCUGUAAUGGCUUCUCAAAUGUCCAGAACUUGAAUGAAUUCGAUGACCAUUUGUGUGGAUUUCCUGGUGAGAGAACCAUUUCUGUAAUGGCUUCUCAAAUGUCCAGAACUUGAAUGAAGGGUGGCAUCGUAAGGGAAGUUUUAUAUCUCUGAUUUAUCUGCUUUCGUUGGGAUCCUCGGCAACAGGUUUUCUCGUGCGACUGUCAACCAGAAUUGAGUUGAAAAUGUCUGGAGUGAUCGCCUGGACAGAAGUUCCAUGAAGCUAAUUGCCAGUCCAGAAAUGAAUUUGAAAGCUGCCGCCAAGGCGAACAGGAGUAGCGGCGGGGUUUCUUCACAGGGUUCAGUCACUCUAGAAGUUACACCAUGAAUUGCACUCAUUCCAUUCAUAAAUACAUUGCGGAUGAUUUAGUCAAAAGUCAAGGCUUUCUAAGUUUGACCAUAACCUGUAGCUUAGCUGUAUAGCUUGUAGCUUCUUUUUUCUCUUUCAGUUUUUUUUUCUGCUGAGCUCGUUGUGAACUCCAUGCCAUCUUGGCGCCCUCUCUAAUACAAAUGACACACAUUUUGGUGCGUGUUCGGGGGAAAAAAGGUUUGACCAAGUA
Lolium perenne is the source of this 1370-nucleotide non-coding RNA. Lineage: Eukaryota; Viridiplantae; Streptophyta; Magnoliopsida; Poales; Poaceae. The record is from RefSeq and is a predicted model, not a curated record.